GGAAGUCACCCGGCCGGAUGAGGACACUGUCUUGAAAACAGCUGCGGGUAAAACCGUUGUGGGUUCGAGUCCCACGGCUUCCG
RNAcentral lists this transfer RNA (83 nucleotides) under Roseiconus nitratireducens. Its description in RNAcentral is "Rhodopirellula sp. JC645 tRNA-Ser". The record is from RNAcentral. Lineage: Bacteria; Pseudomonadati; Planctomycetota; Planctomycetia; Pirellulales; Pirellulaceae.